AUUGAACGCUAGCGGCAUGCUUUACACAUGCAAGUCGAACGAGUGGCGGACGGGUGAGUAAUAUAUCGGAACGUGCCCAGUAGCGGGGGAUAACUACUCGAAAGAUUAGCUAAUACCGCAUACUCUUGGAGCGGCCGAUAUCGGAUUAGCUAGUUGGUGGGGUAAAGGCUCACCAAGGCGACGAUCCGUAGCGGGUCUGAGAGGACGACCAGCCACACUGGGACUGAGACACGGCCCAGACUCCUACGGGAGGCAGCAGUGGGGAAUUUUGGACAAUGGGGGAAACCCUGAUCCAGCCAUGCCGCGUGUAUGAGAAGGCCUUCGGGUUGUAAAGUACUUUUGGCAGAGAAGCGGUAUCUGCAGAAUAAGCACCGGCUAACUACGUGCCAGCAGCCGCGGUAAUUC
This 405-nucleotide ribosomal RNA is filed under the name uncultured bacterium. RNAcentral's name for it is "partial 16S ribosomal RNA". It matches the Rfam family "Bacterial small subunit ribosomal RNA", at positions 30 to 526 of the family's 1533-position model. The record is from RNAcentral.